RNAcentral lists this long non-coding RNA (221 nucleotides) under Monodelphis domestica (gray short-tailed opossum). RNAcentral's name for it is "lncRNA (ENSMODG00000048286.1)". Lineage: Eukaryota; Metazoa; Chordata; Mammalia; Didelphimorphia; Didelphidae. The record is from RNAcentral.
CCAAAGGAACUUCCUCUUCUCCUCAAGAUUCCAUUCUCCUGGGGCUCCCCCACAUGGAGCCUGGAGUUCCAGGGAUGACCUUUGAGAGGGACAGACUCCCAGCCCAGAGAGACAACCCUGGCUGGCAGCAUGCUAAGCGUUCUGACAUCUUUGUGUGGUGGCAUUUAUUGUCUGGGUUGGUGGGUUUUAUCAACUUGAUGUCCCUCCUUCAAUAGAGGAAG